GGCGUGUACUGCUUGGCUGGGCCUUACUUCUUGGUGAGCCGGCGUGCCCUUUAUUGGUGUGCGUCGGGGAACCAGGACUUUUACCUUGAGAAAAUUAGAGUGUUCAAAGCAGGCCUAUGCCUGAAUACAUUAGCAUGGAAUAAUAGAAUAGGACGUGCGGUUCUAUUUUGUUGGUUUCUAGAGUCGCCGUAAUGAUUAAUAGGGACAGUUGGGGGCAUUGGUAUUGAGUCGCUAGAGGUGAAAUUCUUGGAUUGACUCAAGACCGACUAUUGCGAAAGCAUUUGCCAAGGAUGUUUUCAUUAAUCAAGAACGAAGGUUAGGGGAUCGAAAACGAUCAGAUACCGUUGUAGUCUUAACAGUAAACUAUGCCGACUAGGGAUCGGAUGACCUCAAAAUUGAUGUGUCAUUCGGCACCUUACGAGAAAUCAAAGUCUUUGGGUUCUGGGGGGGAGUAUGGUCGCAAGGCUGAAACUUAAAGGAAUUGACGGAAGGGCACCACCAGGUGUGGAGCCUGCGGCUUAAUUUGACUCAACACGGGGAAACUCACCAGGUCCAGACAUAACUAGGAUUGACAGAUUGAUAGCUCUUUCAUGAUUUUAUGGGUGGUGGUGCAUGGCCGUUCUUAGUUGGUGGAGUGAUUUGUCUGGUUAAUUCCGAUAACGAACGAGACCUUAACCUGCUAAAUAGCCAGGCCGGCUUCGGCUGGUCUCUGGCUUCUUAGAGGGACUGUCAG
RNAcentral lists this ribosomal RNA (733 nucleotides) under uncultured eukaryote. RNAcentral describes it as "SSU rRNA". It matches the Rfam family "Eukaryotic small subunit ribosomal RNA", at positions 672 to 1426 of the family's 1831-position model. The record is from RNAcentral.